Molecule: RNA transcript, 2300 nt
Organism: Thunnus maccoyii (southern bluefin tuna)
Lineage: Eukaryota; Metazoa; Chordata; Actinopteri; Scombriformes; Scombridae
Gene: hyal6
Gene name: hyaluronoglucosaminidase 6
Exons: 4
Source: RefSeq, a predicted model, not a curated record
UGACGAUGAGGGAAAGAGGAGAGUUUAUCCCCAUCACUGACUCUGCUGCUUUAGGAUUUCAACCAGCAUCCUUUUCAUCACAGUUCUGCUCCCUCUGAGAACAGAGGGGGUUUGUGUUUGGUCGUGUUGUGGUAUUUGGAGCGUUCACUUCAGUGAUCAUCAUUCAUGUGUUCUCCCACAGGCCUGUCUGAUUAUCUCUGCUCACUGAAGCCUAUAAUGUGUUUAUUUUCUCUCCAAACAUGUAAUUUCUAUCUUGUGCUUGUGUAGGAACCACUAAUUGCUCCAUGAGGAAUCAGGGGCUAUGGCGCUGAUGGGGCUCCGUCUCCUGACGCUGGCCUUGUGGGUUGGCGUUGGAGUGAAGCUUGAAGUUUGGGGCGACCAGGUGAAGCCAGCCCGAGCACCUCUGAUCCCCCACCGGCCUUUUGUCGUAGUCUGGAACGCUCCGACUGAGUCCUGUCGCCUUCGAUUCAAGGUGGACCUGGACCUAAGCGUUUUUGACAUCGUAGCAAACCUCAAUGAAACCCUCAGUGGACCGAACGUCACCAUAUUCUAUCACAGCCACCUGGGAUAUUACCCAUUCUACUCCAACUCCGGGUUCCCUAUCAAUGGUGGACUGCCCCAGAACCAGAGCAUCUCCAAACACCUGAGUAAGGCCCGGGCUGACAUCGACAAGCUGAUCCCCCACAAGGAUUUUCGAGGCCUGGGCGUCAUUGAUUGGGAGAACUGGAGGCCUCAGUGGGUUCGAAACUGGGGCUCCAAGGACAUCUACCGCAACAAGUCCAAGGAACAGAUCCGGAAACUUCACCCGAACUGGCCAGAGAGCAAAGUGGAGAAGCAAGCAAAGGAAAAUUUUGAGAGGGCCGGACUGAACUUCAUGAACCUGACCUUGGCCCUGGCUGAAGGUCGCAGGCCAGAUGGAUUGUGGGGGUUUUACCUGUUUCCAGACUGUUACAACUACGGGUAUAAGCAGCACCCGCAACGGUACACAGGCGAAUGCCCGAAUGUCGAGCAUGUCCGUAAUGAUCAUCUGAUGUGGCUCUGGAGGGAAAGCACGGCACUAUACCCGUCCAUCUACCUGGACUACGAGCUCAAGUCCUCCACCAACACUGUCAAGUUCGUCCACUAUCGAGUCAAAGAAGCCAUGAGAAUUGCGUCUAUCGCCCGUAUGGACUUCACACUGCCCGUGUUUGUCUACUCCAGACCUUUCUACGCCUACACCUUUGUGGUUCUUUCAGAGAGUGACCUUGUUCAUACCAUCGGGGAGAGCGCUGCCUUGGGAGCAUCAGGCGUCAUCCUCUGGGGAUCAUCAGAGUACGCUCGAUCACAGAGGAACUGCCUGACGGUGAAGAAGUACAUCGACGGUCAGCUGGGACAUUACGUCAUCAACGUCACCUCUGCUGCCAAGCUGUGCAGCAAAGCGCUGUGCAAGAAGAACGGCAGGUGCGUGCGCAAGAGCCUGGAUUCGGGCGCUUACCUGCACCUGAACCCACGCUUCUUCAACAUCCACCGCAACCCGACGCCCAGGGGCCCCCGCUUCCACGUCAGCGGCCACCUCAACAACCACGACAUCUUGGACAUGAAGCACAAGUUCACCUGCCAGUGCUACCAGGGCUGGACAGGUGUUUACUGCGAGGUGCCCCAGGUACCGGCCCCUCCUCCUCCUGUCCCGCCUCAACCCGCCAUCCCUCUGCCUCACCCCCGGGAGAACAGCCUGCUGGGAGAUGUCCUCGUCCUGCUAUCCCUCCAUUUCUCUUGUCUCUGCAUCAUCAUGUUCCUGGGACUCUGUCUGAUUAUCAGGUGUCUGAUACUGUAGACACCAAAAUGUACUUUUAGGACCCCCUCCUCCUCCUCAGGACGACAGACAGCAAAUGAAAAGUCAGAAGAUCAUCAGAGUUCCAGAAGUGUGUGAACCAGAUUUCACAGCCAGCCAUCACGUGACCGAGGCGGAGCUGAAGCUGACUCAACCCGACGGCGUUUCUCUGUCGCUGUUAUUAUCGGAUUAUGAUGAUUGACAGCUGAGGAAGUAAACAAUCUCACAGCAUCUGCGGUUCACAGUCGUCUCAGUUUCAUGUCUUCGGAUCUUUUUUCUUCGUCUUCUAAACACAAACAUUGACAAUUAUGUUACCAGUGAAAGUCUCGUACACUUUGUUUCCUGUCAACUGUUUGAACAUUUUCUAAAACAGUGUAUCCUGUAUCCAUUUUAUAAAAUAAACUUCUUCAAAAUGUCUUAAAUAAACAGAAACCAAACACCUGUAAUUUUGCGACUCCCAGACUUCAGUUACCUCCUGUACUUGAGCUAA